Molecule: long non-coding RNA, 475 nt
Organism: Anopheles funestus (African malaria mosquito)
Lineage: Eukaryota; Metazoa; Arthropoda; Insecta; Diptera; Culicidae
Exons: 3
Source: RefSeq, a predicted model, not a curated record
GUGUCUUGGCUAAGGUGUCUUGGCUAAUGUGUUUUGGCUAAGGUGUCUUGGCUAAUGUGUCUUGGCUAAGGUGUCUUGGCUAAGGUGUCUUGGCUAAGGUGUCUUGGCUAAUGUGUCUUGGCUAAGGUGUCUUGGCUAAUGUGUCUUGGCUAAGGUGUCUUGGCUAAGGUGUCUUGGCUAAGGUGUCUUGGCUAAUGUGUCUUGGAUAAGGUGUCUUGGCUAAUGUGUCUUGGCUAAGGUGUCUUGGCUAAGGUGUCUUGGCUAGGGUGUCUUGGCUAAGGUGUCUUGGCUAAUGUGUCUUGGCUAAUGUGUCUUGGCUAAUGUGUCUUGGCUAAGGUGUCUCGGCUAAUGUGUCUUGGCUAAUGUGUCUUGGCUAAUGUGUCUCGGCUAAUGUGUCUUGGCUAAUGUAACUUGGCUAAGGUGUCUUGGCUAAUGUGUCUUGGCUAAGGUGUCUUGGCUAAGGUGUCUUGGCUAA